Molecule: ribosomal RNA, 427 nt
Filed under: uncultured bacterium
Lineage: Bacteria
Description: partial 16S ribosomal RNA
Rfam family: Bacterial small subunit ribosomal RNA
Source: RNAcentral
UGGGGAAUAUUGGACAAUGGGCGAAAGCCUGAUCCAGCCAUGCCGCGUGUGUGAAGAAGGUCUUCGGAUUGUAAAGCACUUUAAGUUGGGAGGAAGGGCAUUAACCUAAUACGUUAGUGUUUUGACGUUACCGACAGAAUAAGCACCGGCUAACUCUGUGCCAGCAGCCGCGGUAAUACAGAGGGUGCAAGCGUUAAUCGGAAUUACUGGGCGUAAAGCGCGCGUAGGUGGUUUGUUAAGUUGGAUGUGAAAUCCCCGGGCUCAACCUGGGAACUGCAUUCAAAACUGACUGACUAGAGUGUGGUAGAGGGUGGUGGAAUUUCCUGUGUAGCGGUGAAAUGCGUAGAUAUAGGAAGGAACACCAGUGGCGAAGGCGACCACCUGGACUAAUACUGACACUGAGGUGCGAAAGCGUGGGGAGCAAACA